GGGUGGGCUUGGUGAUGCAGUGUGCUGAGUCACUUCUCUUCCUGUAAAUCAUCCCUCACCCAUGUUCCUUUCAUUCUGUUUGAAAUACAGCAGCCUGUUCCCAUGGCUGGAUCUGAUUUAGAAGUGCCUAUCAAGUAUUCUGAGCAAGGGAUGACUGGGAGAGCCUGGCAGCAGUAACAACACGGGAGCAAUGAAAGCACGCACACUCCCCAGAGCCCGGGUACCAAGGACCGCUCAGUACUCAUAGGAAGCAGGGCUCCCUGGGAAGAUGCUAAGAAGAGUCAGAAUGUGUGGCCUAUCAGAAUACAAGAAAGUGAUCAGAGAUUCACCCAGCCUUGCAAAGGACUCCCUAACUGCUUCAAGAAGUUCCUAUGGGAUUCGAGUUAUUAAAAAUAAUGCUAGUGGACUGGUAAGAUGGCUCAGCAGGUAAAAAUGUGCCUACCACUGAGCCUGAUGACCUGAGUCCAAUUCCCAGGACCCACACAGGAGAGACCUGACCACUGUAAGCUGCCUUCUGAUCUCCACAUGUACAAUGUGGCAUGAGCAUGUUCACACCACACACACACACACACACACACACACA
This is a long non-coding RNA of Mesocricetus auratus (golden hamster), 583 nucleotides long. RefSeq lists it as uncharacterized. The record is from RefSeq and is a predicted model, not a curated record. NCBI's taxonomy places the organism in Eukaryota, Metazoa, Chordata, Mammalia, Rodentia, Cricetidae. The transcript is spliced from 3 exons.